This 138-nucleotide ribosomal RNA is filed under the name uncultured eukaryote. Its description in RNAcentral is "partial 18S ribosomal RNA". It matches the Rfam family "Eukaryotic small subunit ribosomal RNA", at positions 1299 to 1458 of the family's 1831-position model. The record is from RNAcentral.
UGGUGGAGCGAUUUGUCUGGUUAGUUCCGAUAACGAACGAGACUCUGGCCUAUUAAAUAGUUCGCCGAUUCCGAUCUGUCGGCGUUAACUUCUUAGAGGGACAAGUGGCUUUUAGCCACGCGAGAUUGAGCAAUAACA